This 29-nucleotide non-coding RNA is filed under the name Homo sapiens (human). Lineage: Eukaryota; Metazoa; Chordata; Mammalia; Primates; Hominidae. The record is from RNAcentral.
UGGUGAAUGACAUCUAGACCCUUCUGUCC